AAAUUGAAGAGUUUGAUCAUGGCUCAGAUUGAACGCUGGCGGCAGGCCUAACACAUGCAAGUCGAACGGUAACAGGAAUCAGCUUGCUGAUUUGCUGACGAGUGGCGGACGGGUGAGUAAUGUCUGGGAAACUGCCUGAUGGAGGGGGGAUAACUACUGGAAACGGUAGCUAAUACCGCAUAAUGUCGCAAGACCAAAGAGGGGGGACCUUCGGGCCUCUUGCCAUCGGAUGUGCCCAGAUGGGAUUAGCUAGUAGGUGGGGUAACGGCUCACCUAGGCGACGAUCCCUAGCUGGUCUGAGAGGAUGACCAGCCACACUGGAACUGAGACACGGUCCAGACUCCUACGGGAGGCAGCAGUGGGGAAUAUUGCACAAUGGGCGCAAGCCUGAUGCAGCCAUGCCGCGUGUAUGAAGAAGGCCUUCGGGUUGUAAAGUACUUUCAGCGGGGAGGAAGGGAGUAAAGUUAAUACCUUUACUCAUUGACGUUACCCGCAGAAGAAGCACCGGCUAACUCCGUGCCAGCAGCCGCGGUAAUACGGAGGGUGCAAGCGUUAAUCGGAAUUACUGGGCGUAAAGCGCACGCAGGCGGUUUGUUAAGUCAGAUGUGAAAUCCCCGGGCUCAACCUGGGAACUGCAUCUGAUACUGGCAAGCUUGAGUCUCGUAGAGGGGGGGUAGAAUUCCGGGUGUAGCGGUGAAAUGCGUAGAGAUCUGGAGGAAUACCGGUGGCGAAGGCGGCCCCCUCGGACGAAGACUGACGCUCAGGUGCGAAAGCGUGGGGAGCAAACAGGAUUAGAUACUCCCGGUAGUCCACGCCGUAAACGAUGUCGACUUGGAGGUUGUGCCCUUGAGGCGUGGCUUCCGGAGCUAACGCGUUAAGUCGACCGCCCUGGGGAGUACGGCCGCAAGGUUAAAACUCAAAUGAAUUGACGGGGGGCCCGCACAAGCGGUGGAGCAUGUGGUUUAAUUCGAUGCAACGCGAAGAACCUUACCCUGGUCUUGACAUCCACAGAACCUUGUAGAGAUACGAGGGUGCCUUCGGGAACUGUGAGACAGGUGCUGCAUGGCUGUCGUCAGCUCGUGUUGUGAAAUGUUGGGUUAAGUCCCGCAACGAGCGCAACCCUUAUCCUUUGUUGCCAGCGGUCCGGCCGGGAACUCAAAGGAGACUGCCAGUGAUAAACUGGAGGAAGGUGGGGGAUGACGUCAAGUCAUCAUGGCCCUUACGACCAGGGGCUACACACGUGCUACAAUGGCGCAUACAAAGAGAAGCGACCUCGCGAGAGCAAGCGGACCUCAUAAAGUGCGUCGUAGUCCGGAUUGGAGUCUGCAACUCGACUCCAUGAAGUCGGAAUCGCUAGUAAUCGUGGAUCAGAAUGCCACGGUGAAUACGUUCCCGGGCCUUGUACACACCGCCCGUCACACCAUGGGAGUGGGUUGCAAAAGAAGUAGGUAGCUUAACCUUCGGGAGGGCGCUUACCACUUUGUGAUUCAUGACUGGGGUGAAGUCGUAACAAGGUAACCGUAGGGGAACCUGCGGUUGGAUCACCUCCUUACCUUAAAGAAGC
Molecule: ribosomal RNA, 1564 nt
Filed under: Escherichia coli
Lineage: Bacteria; Pseudomonadati; Pseudomonadota; Gammaproteobacteria; Enterobacterales; Enterobacteriaceae
Description: bacterial SSU rRNA
Rfam family: Bacterial small subunit ribosomal RNA
Source: RNAcentral